GGAGGAAGGCUCUUGGGUUGUAAACCUYUUUUCUCAGGGAAGAAAAAAAWGACGGUACCUGAGGAAUAAGCAUCGGCUAACUCCGUGCCAGCAGCCGCGGUAAUACGGAGGAUGCAAGCGUUAUCCGGAAUGAUUGGGCGUAAAGGGUCCGCAGGUGGCUGUGUAAGUCUGCUGUUAAAGAAUCUAGCUCAACUAGAUAAAAGCAGUGGAAACUACAUAGCUAGAGUGCGUUCGGGGUAGAGGGAAUUCCUGGUGUAGCGGUGAAAUGCGUAAAUAUCAGGAAGAACACCAGUGGCGAAGGCGCUCUACUAGGCCGCAA
RNAcentral lists this ribosomal RNA (319 nucleotides) under Nodularia sp. KUAC 3906d. Its description in RNAcentral is "bacterial SSU rRNA". It matches the Rfam family "Bacterial small subunit ribosomal RNA", at positions 406 to 739 of the family's 1533-position model. The record is from RNAcentral. Lineage: Bacteria; Bacillati; Cyanobacteriota; Cyanophyceae; Nostocales; Nodulariaceae.